This 563-nucleotide ribosomal RNA is filed under the name uncultured bacterium. RNAcentral's name for it is "partial 16S ribosomal RNA". It matches the Rfam family "Bacterial small subunit ribosomal RNA", at positions 355 to 914 of the family's 1533-position model. The record is from RNAcentral.
UGGGGAAUUUUGGACAAUGGGCGAAAGCCUGAUCCAGCAAUGCCGCGUGUGUGAAGAAGGCCUUCGGGUUGUAAAGCACUUUUGUCCGGAAAGAAAUCCUUGGCUCUAAUACAGUCGGGGGAUGACGGUACCGGAAGAAUAAGCACCGGCUAACUACGUGCCAGCAGCCGCGGUAAUACGUAGGGUGCAAGCGUUAAUCGGAAUUACUGGGCGUAAAGCGUGCGCAGGCGGUUUGCUAAGACCGAUGUGAAAUCCCCGGGCUCAACCUGGGAACUGCAUUGGUGACUGGCAGGCUAGAGUAUGGCAGAGGGGGGUAGAAUUCCACGUGUAGCAGUGAAAUGCGUAGAGAUGUGGAGGAAUACCGAUGGCGAAGGCAGCCCCCUGGGCCAAUACUGACGCUCAUGCACGAAAGCGUGGGGAGCAAACAGGAUUAGAUACCCUGGUAGUCCACGCCCUAAACGAUGUCAACUAGUUGUGGGGAUUCAUUCCUUAGUAACGUAGCUAACGCGUGAAGUUGACCGCCUGGGGAGUACGGUCGCAAGAUUAAAACUCAAGGAAUUGAC